UGUGGGCUGAAUCUCGAGGCGUGAAAUCCUAAUAGACUGAAAAUGAGAUAUUCAUACAUAUUUUGUGUAAAUACAUCUAGAAUAGUCAGCAAACAAAAUAUCUCAAAACGGUCCGGGGGUUGUCUCCACCAUCAUCCAUAAAACAUCUCUGAUAUGCUUAGCAACAUAAGCAAUCAUCCAGUCUACCGCCGUAUUAGUGUCUCUGAAGACAUGUCUAAUUGCGAGACCGAUGCACUCCAUCAGACUGUGA
RNAcentral lists this long non-coding RNA (250 nucleotides) under Elaeis guineensis (African oil palm). RNAcentral's name for it is "long non-coding RNA (EGUI_LNC013025)". Lineage: Eukaryota; Viridiplantae; Streptophyta; Magnoliopsida; Arecales; Arecaceae. The record is from RNAcentral.